Molecule: unclassified non-coding RNA, 277 nt
Filed under: Hevea brasiliensis (rubber tree)
Lineage: Eukaryota; Viridiplantae; Streptophyta; Magnoliopsida; Malpighiales; Euphorbiaceae
Source: RNAcentral
GGCAAAUAACUCGAUUCUGAAUUUCAUUUUCGGAGCAACUUACAUGACCAUGCAUUGUAUAAUUUGGCUGGCUUAGUUGCAGAGGAGGUAACUUAUCAGCACAAAAGUAGCAUGGCCUAUUAAACAUGGCACUAAUUUUCCUUACAAUCCAUUAAGAAACUCAGUUUGGUAAUUUAACUCACUCCCCAGUUAAAAAAGUGUACAUAGAGGAAAUAAAUUACCCACCAAACUUCAAUUUCAGAGGACUAUUGGUACAAAAAGUGCAAGUCAUAUAAUG